CGACGUUUGUGCGCAAGCGCGACUAAAAGCGGUGGCGAGAGAGAAAAUGUGUGGGCGUUGGUUGCCUGAUUAUGUGACUGCAUAGGUACUAUGGAGGAAAAUUCAUUUUAACUCAUUUUGUAUGCGUUCGUGCCUAAGAAUGCCGGCAUUGUGAUGGGAGGUUGCGUUUUGUAUACGCUCCGAACCUUGCUGCCAGAGUGGUUACCCAUUUCAAGCAGUGGGCACUGACACCCCAUUUGGGGAUCGCUAUGUCUUAAGGUACGUCGGACGUAUGCGAAUCCAAGCAUCUGAAGGUGCCAAAUGUGAGCUGAAGCAACAUUAGGAACAAGCUAGAUUGUCUGCUCGUGCAUCAGCCUGUGGAACUGUUAAAGCCAGCAACCUGAAUCAUGAAGCGACCAAUAUGUGAUAACAAUCAUAAGCGAAUCUCCAGGAAGUGCAUUAAAGCAUUCGUUUAUGUAGUGGUGUUACUGAUUUGAUUGAUAAAAAAUUAUUUGAAAUGCUCGUCCA
This is a long non-coding RNA of Dermacentor albipictus, 507 nucleotides long. RefSeq lists it as uncharacterized. Lineage: Eukaryota; Metazoa; Arthropoda; Arachnida; Ixodida; Ixodidae. The record is from RefSeq and is a predicted model, not a curated record.